AUGGAGAGAACCGAAACUUUUGUUAGUCAGACGGAGCAGAUCAUGGAGGCGGCGGUGGAAUCAGCCGUGUGUGUUCUCGCUGAGGGGACGAGGGACCGCCCGGAGAGACGGGAUUUGCUGACCUCCGUCCUCCACGUGGUGACCAGAGAGGCUGGUCGUAAGAUCUGCAGAGUAUUCAGAGAGCUCAUUGUUAGCUUAGUGAUGGAAAACGAAGCUCUGAAGCGCAAAGUGGGACAUUUGGAGAGUGAACUGAAGUCAAAGGUAGAGAAGCCUCAGACGGUUUAUAAGAUCAAAUCAUCAGGUGAGUCAAGGCUCACUGAGCAGAUUACAUCUUUGUUCAUGGAAACUAUGAAGCGUUUUAAAUUUAGUUGGAUCAAUAGGGAAAACUGUUGGUGUAAAUACAUUCUGAGGAGUGAAGGAACCAAAGGAAGGAAGUCCGCCCGCACCCAAAGUUGUUGAACUCAGUUUCUCUUAAUGCUUCACGGGUCUAGGUAGAUUGACCUAUUAGGGAACGGUUUCACCUAAUGAGACUUUAAAUCGCCUCUAUCAGAAUGUAGUGACCUCAUAGACUGUACGUAGUAACAUAGGGACCUCGUAGACCAUAGGUAUUACUUUCUAGACUCUACAUAGGAACGUGGUGACCUCGUAGCCCGCUAGUGUUGCCACCAGAGAAAAUACCAGCGGCUCAACCAACUUUGCAAUAAAUCGUUUUCUGAUCUAACUUACGACUCGGCUCCUCUCUUGGGCACAAGUUGUGUUGGUGCAUCUCUGGUCUCUCGUUGUUCCUCCCGUAUCGCUCUUUUCCAUGUAGCAAGAGAGUUCAUUGUUGUUGUGAGCUGUACCCAGCAUGCAGUUCGGCGGGGGUCAUUUUUAUAAAUGUACAAUUAUGUGUUACAAACUGUUUAUGUGUCACAAGUUGUUGUGUUUUACCCUGUUAUGGAGCGUUUGUUGUGGGUUAUUGAUUGUUGUUAGCCCUACGGUGACCUCAUAGACUGUAUGUAGGAAUGGUUUCACCUUGCACUUUACGUAGCCACUUUAGUAACCGCACAAAAGUUUGAUUCUGUAAACAGUGUUUUAUCACUCAAAGAUAAA
Molecule: long non-coding RNA, 1092 nt
Organism: Gasterosteus aculeatus (three-spined stickleback)
Lineage: Eukaryota; Metazoa; Chordata; Actinopteri; Perciformes; Gasterosteidae
Source: Ensembl